AGUGAACGCUGGCGGUAGGCCUAACACAUGCAAGUCGAACGGCAGCACAGUAAGAGCUUGCUCUUACGGUUGGCGAGUGGCGGACGGGUGAGGCAUACAUCGGAAUCUACUUUUUCGUGGGGGAUAACGUAGGGAAACUUACGCUAAUACCGCAUACGACCUACGGGUGAAAGCAGGGGAUCUUCGGACCUUGCGCGAUUGAAUGAGCCGAUGUCGGAUUAGCUAGUUGGCGGGGUAAAGGCCCACCAAGGCGACGAUCCGUAGCUGGUCUGAGAGGAUGAUCGGCCACACUGGAACUGAGACACGGUCCAGACUCCUACGGGAGGCAGCAGUGGGGAAUAUUGGACAAUGGGCGCAAGCCUGAUUCAGCCAUACCGCGUGGGUGAAGAAGGCCUUCGGGUCGUAAAGCCCUUUUGUUGGGAAAGAAAAGCAGCAGGUUAAUACCUCGACGUUCUGACGGUACCCAAAGAAUAAGCACCGGCUAACUUCGUG
This 492-nucleotide ribosomal RNA is filed under the name uncultured bacterium. RNAcentral describes it as "partial 16S ribosomal RNA". It matches the Rfam family "Bacterial small subunit ribosomal RNA", at positions 29 to 507 of the family's 1533-position model. The record is from RNAcentral.